RNAcentral lists this ribosomal RNA (482 nucleotides) under uncultured bacterium. Its description in RNAcentral is "bacterial SSU rRNA". It matches the Rfam family "Bacterial small subunit ribosomal RNA", at positions 791 to 1273 of the family's 1533-position model. The record is from RNAcentral.
UAGUCCACGCCGUAAACGAUGGUCACUCGCUGUUGGCAACACACUGUCAGUGGCUGAGCGAAAGCAUUAAGUGACCCACCUGGGGAGUACGUUCGCAAGAAUGAAACUCAAAGGAAUUGACGGGGGGCCCGCACAAGCGGUGGAGCAUGUGGUUUAAUUCGAUGAUACGCGAGGAACCUUACCAGGGCUUAAAUGCAUAACGACCGGACUGGAAACAGUCCUUUCUUCGGACGGAAUGCAAGGUGCUGCAUGGUUGUCGUCAGCUCGUGCUGUGAAGUGUCGGGUUAAGUCCCAUAACGAGCGCAACCCCUAUCUUCAGUUGCCAGCGGGUAAUGCCGGGGACUCUGGAGAAACUGCCACCGUAAGGUGAGAGGAAGGUGGGGAUGACGUCAAAUCAUCACGGGCCCUUACGUCCUGGGGCUACACACGUGCUACAAUGGGCCGGUACAGAGGGGCAGCUACACUGCGAAGUGAUGCGAAUC